UUGAUUGAGUAGAUUUAAUUAAAUGCUUGUUCGUUUAAUUAAUCUUGUUGAAUAAGGUUAGUCAUCUCUUGGUAAGGGAGUGACUAACUGGUUGAGUUGUUUAGUGAUAAUGUUGUUGUUUAGGGAUCUUGGCCAUAUAGGCCGAUCUCAUGGUUGUGAUGUUGAUACUAUGGGUCCUAUGCCAUAUAGGCUGGACUACGAGUAUUAGUUGAUAUUUUCGUAGACUCCUAUAUAUUGUUUAGUUUUGGGUUGGAGUCUUGUGUCGAGUGUGUGUUAUGCCGACAGCAGUUGCGAAACCCGCCCAUGCUAGGUAUGUUUUGGGGUGGACUAGUGUUUCCUCGCCCUCGUAUUCAGCGGGUUCAAGGAAACCCCUUAUUCGUUGGAUCGGGAAGACUCAGAUAGACGGGGUCAUGGCCUAUGGCUGAGUG
RNAcentral lists this long non-coding RNA (428 nucleotides) under Brassica napus (rape). Its description in RNAcentral is "long non-coding RNA (BNAP_LNC024829)". Lineage: Eukaryota; Viridiplantae; Streptophyta; Magnoliopsida; Brassicales; Brassicaceae. The record is from RNAcentral.